RNAcentral lists this ribosomal RNA (253 nucleotides) under uncultured bacterium. RNAcentral describes it as "partial 16S ribosomal RNA". It matches the Rfam family "Bacterial small subunit ribosomal RNA", at positions 524 to 776 of the family's 1533-position model. The record is from RNAcentral.
UACGGAGGGUGCAAGCGUUAUCCGGAUUUACUGGGUUUAAAGGGUGCGUAGGCGGGCCAUUAAGUCAGUGGUGAAAGCUCCGAGCUUAACUCGGAAACUGCCAUUGAUACUAUUGGUCUUGAAUUCGGUCGAGGUUGGCGGAAUGUGUCGUGUAGCGGUGAAAUGCUUAGAUAUGACACAGAACACCGAUUGCGAAGGCAGCUAGCUAGACCGACAUUGACGCUGAGGCACGAGAGCGUGGGGAUCAAGCAGG